Molecule: ribosomal RNA, 94 nt
Filed under: Salmonella enterica
Lineage: Bacteria; Pseudomonadati; Pseudomonadota; Gammaproteobacteria; Enterobacterales; Enterobacteriaceae
Description: partial 16S ribosomal RNA
Rfam family: Bacterial small subunit ribosomal RNA
Source: RNAcentral
UUAAAUUGAAGAGUUUGAUCAUGGCUCAGAUUGAACGCUGGCGGCAGGCUUAACACAUGCAAGUCGAACGGUAGCACAGAGAGCUUGCUCUCGG